UCCUACGGGGGGCAGCAGUGGGGGAUAUUGCACAAUGGGGGGAACCCUGAUGCAGCGACGCCGCGUGGGUGAAGGAGUGCUUCGGCAUGUAAAGCCCUAUCGGCAGGGAAGAAGCAAGACGGUACCUGACUAAGAAGCCCCGGCUAACUACGUGCCAGCAGCCGCGGUAAUACGUAGGGAGCGAGCGUUGUCCGGAUUUACUGGGUGUAAAGGGUGCGGAGGCGGCUUGGCAAGUCAGUAGUGAAAUCCAUGGGCUUAACCCAUGAACGGCUAUUGAAACUGUCGAGCUUGAGUGAAGUAGAGGG
RNAcentral lists this ribosomal RNA (305 nucleotides) under uncultured bacterium. Its description in RNAcentral is "bacterial SSU rRNA". It matches the Rfam family "Bacterial small subunit ribosomal RNA", at positions 337 to 658 of the family's 1533-position model. The record is from RNAcentral.